CAGGAACCUGAAUAAUACAUAUGAGCAGCCCGACCCGACCACCAUUAUUAGAACCAGGACCCAUCAAACCACCCUGUACUCACCCAGCAGAGCGAGCAUUUAUAUGAGAGCUUUAAACCGAUGACAACACAGACUAACAGUGAGACUCCAUUGUCCGAAAGCGCCGAAGAUUCACCCACUGGUGCGACAGAUAAUGAAGAGACCAUAACCCUGUUAAAGAAACGGAAGUCCUAAAUCUGCACAGUCAUGUGACUUGAUGCAAGUUAAUGUGGUUGGUUAAUUGAAAGCAUUCAUAGAAAUGACUCUAUUGGGUGUAUUUCUAUGGGUCAAAUCUGCUCUUUGCACAUUGGUAUUAAAAAUUCUAAUGCACAUGUAAGUGUUACUGUAUAACAUUGUCUGUCUCAUCUCCUGCACGUACAAGUGUUGCCAUGUCAUUGCAUUUGUCUUCCAAACACUCCCUGUGUGUAUGCUGGUCAUUGUCCCCCACACUGAAAUUGGGGAAGGGACUGUGGAUCUGUUUCCGUCCGUUAGUACGUUCAUAUGUUAGUCACAAGCGAUAUCUCAGACAGCAUUGGCCCGGUUUUGACUAAACUUUGGUGAAUGGUGCAUCUUGCCAUAGCUUUACAGCAUUUAGAAAAUUACACUGAUUGGCCAGAUGGUGGCCCUGUAACAAGAUUGAAAAUGCAAAGUUUGAAAGGUCAUGCCCCUCACCCCAUUAUACCUUAAAUCAUGAAAUAUAGUAGAUCGGUUCCUGUCUUCACAAGGAACAAAUUUGCCUCUGGACCCAUAAGUUCCGCCAUGAUGGAUUUUCCGCCAUUUUGAAUUGUGUGAAAAACACUUAACCCUACUCUUCUGAUACCGAAUGACCAAUCUGCACGAAACUUGAUAUGUGGCAUUUAUGGAAAACGAUCUCUCAACGCAAUAUUUUCCAGACUGGUAGCUAAAUCAACAUGGCCGCUAUAUUGACCAAUAAACAUUCACCUGGGUGUGUUCUGGCACAUAACUGCAUAUAAAUCAGUCAAAGACAUUCGUAUUGUAACAGAAUUUGAUAAACCCUGUCAAGACUCAACAUAUGCAAGAACAUUCAUAUCGACCUUGCUGUGGCGCUAUAACGGGCAUAUAUCUGUUGGUCUGUUUGACUUAGUGAUGAAAUUUGGCACGCAUGUUUAGGGAUAUGAGCUAACCCACACGAUAUCUCAGACACCACUGGCCCAAUUUUGACAACAUUUGGGUGAAUGAUUAGUCAUGCUAUAGAGAUCUGAAAAUGACAAAAUUAUACCUUUUGGGCCAGGGGGGCUAUAGUAAUCAACUGUACAUACGUUAGUCAUUUGUGGGGGGAUGACAUGUUUACUGUUGCCUUAUUUCAAGGUGUCUUGGUAGUCAAUAUUCUAAGAUUGUCAUAAUGUGUAUCAUUUCUUCAAUCAUGCUAAUUUAAAUCUCUGCUCUUCACUUGAAUCAUGGUUGUACAAUUUGAAAUAAAUGUCAUCUGUUUUUGAACUA
Long non-coding RNA from Oncorhynchus kisutch (coho salmon), 1500 nucleotides. RefSeq lists it as uncharacterized. The record is from RefSeq and is a predicted model, not a curated record. The transcript has 3 exons. Lineage: Eukaryota; Metazoa; Chordata; Actinopteri; Salmoniformes; Salmonidae.